UACGAAGGGUGCGAGCGUUAAUCGGAAUUACUGGGCGUAAAGCGCGCGUAGGUGGUUGAGUAAGCGAUCUGUGAAAGCCCUGGGCUUAACCUGGGAACUGCAGGUCGAACUGCUUGGCUAGAGUAUGGUAGAGGGGUGUGGAAUUUCCUGUGUAGCGGUGAAAUGCGUAGAUAUAGGAAGGAACAUCAGUGGCGAAGGCGACACCCUGGACCGAUACUGACACUGAGGCGCGAAAGCGUGGGUAGCGAACAGG
Molecule: ribosomal RNA, 253 nt
Filed under: uncultured bacterium
Lineage: Bacteria
Description: partial 16S ribosomal RNA
Rfam family: Bacterial small subunit ribosomal RNA
Source: RNAcentral